RNAcentral lists this ribosomal RNA (419 nucleotides) under Stellarima microtrias. Its description in RNAcentral is "SSU rRNA". It matches the Rfam family "Eukaryotic small subunit ribosomal RNA", at positions 593 to 1013 of the family's 1831-position model. The record is from RNAcentral. Lineage: Eukaryota; Bacillariophyta; Coscinodiscophyceae; Coscinodiscales; Coscinodiscaceae.
AAUAGCGUAUAUUAAAUUUGUUGCAGUUAAAAAGCUCGUAGUUUGAAUUCUGGCCGGAGCGGUUGGUGCGACUCUCUGAGUUGUUACUUGCAUCGUCUCUGGCCAUCCUUGGGGAGAACCUGUCUGGCAUUAGGUUGUCGGGCAGGGGGUACUCAUCGUUUACUGUGAAAAAAUUAGAGUGUUCAAAGCAGGCUUACGCCGUUGAAUAUACUAGCAUGGAAUAAUAAUAUAGGACCCUUGUACUAUUUUGUUGGUUUGUGCACGAGGGUAAUGAUUAACAGGGACAAUUGGGGAUAUUUGUAUUUCAGUGGAAGAGGUGAAAUUCUUGGAUUUCUGAAAGACAAACAACUGCGAAAGCAUUUAUCAAGGAUGUUUUCAUUAAUCAAGAACGAAAGUUAGGGGAUCGAAGAUGAUUAGAU